UGACCUCGAAUCAGGUAGGAAU
Molecule: ribosomal RNA, 22 nt
Filed under: Fusarium sp.
Lineage: Eukaryota; Fungi; Ascomycota; Sordariomycetes; Hypocreales; Nectriaceae
Also listed under: 1 other name
Description: partial 28S ribosomal RNA
Source: RNAcentral